This 698-nucleotide long non-coding RNA is filed under the name Jatropha curcas. RNAcentral's name for it is "long non-coding RNA (JCUR_LNC000854)". Lineage: Eukaryota; Viridiplantae; Streptophyta; Magnoliopsida; Malpighiales; Euphorbiaceae. The record is from RNAcentral.
CGAGAGAUUGCAGAGGAUGGAGGCCCAGACAGAAACAGAAAAAAAUAGGUAGAAAGAGAAGGCUCAGAUCAGAUAUGCCUUCAAAUCGGACAGGACAAAAACACCUCAACCCCAGGGCUGCAACAAAAAAAAGGUUGCCUCUCCAAAAAAUUGAGUAUUUCUCCCCCAGUCUGACUUUUCAGGCUCACUGAAUAAAUCGCCAUAGCCUCGNNNNNNNNNNNNACACACAAGAAAGAAAACAGAUAUAUUGGUAUAAGGGCUGUUGCCAACACAAGAUCCGUAAUGAGUAGUCACCGGCUCUGCUACCGAUCAGAGAGGACAGAGUAAACCACCCUGAAACCAACCCCCCCCCUCACUGAGAGCAAAGCCUCAUACCUAAACCAUUCACACAGCAAUAUUAAGGUAAACAUAUUUCAUAAAAAAGCAAUUGCGAAUUUUAUAUUUUAGAAAAAAAAAUAACAUAAAGAAAAUCGAAAAUGAAGAGCUAGAGAUUGAAGAGGAUGGAGGCCCAAACAGAAACAGAAAAAAACGGUAGAAAGAGAAGGCUCAGAUCAGGUAUGCCUUCAAAUCGGACAGGACAGAUACACCACAACCCCAGGGCUGCAAAAACCAAAGGUUGCCCCGCCAAGAAAUUGAGUAUUUCUCCUCCAGUCUGACUUUUUAGGCUCACUGAAUAUAUCGUCAUAGCCUCGCCAGUC